UGGGGAAUAUUGCGCAAUGGGCGGAAGCCUGACGCAGCGACGCCGCGUGGGGGAUGACGGCCUUCGGGUUGUAAACCUCUUUCAGCAGGGACGAAGCGAGAGUGACGGUACCUGCAGAAGAAGCACCGGCCAACUACGUGCCAGCAGCCGCGGUAAUACGUAGGGUGCAAGCGUUGUCCGGAAUUAUUGGGCGUAAAGAGCUCGUAGGCGGUCUGUCGCGUCGGCGGUGAAAACUCGGGGCUCAACUCCGAGCCUGCCGUCGAUACGGGCAGACUAGAGUGCGGUAGGGGAGACUGGAAUUCCUGGUGUAGCGGUGAAAUGCGCAGAUAUCAGGAGGAACACCGGUGGCGAAGGCGGGUCUCUGGGCCGUAACUGACGCUGAGGAGCGAAAGCGUGGGGAGCAAAC
RNAcentral lists this ribosomal RNA (406 nucleotides) under uncultured bacterium. RNAcentral's name for it is "bacterial SSU rRNA". It matches the Rfam family "Bacterial small subunit ribosomal RNA", at positions 355 to 773 of the family's 1533-position model. The record is from RNAcentral.